Arvicanthis niloticus (Nile rat) is the source of this 128-nucleotide non-coding RNA. The record is from RefSeq and is a predicted model, not a curated record. NCBI's taxonomy places the organism in Eukaryota, Metazoa, Chordata, Mammalia, Rodentia, Muridae.
CCUGCCCCUAGAGGCACUGCAGGUGUGGCUGCUGUGUCACAUGAACAUCAGUAGGUGGCAGAGAGGAGAGAGGCUAUGACUACAGUUCUGACCCUAUGAACCCUUUGAACGGUUAGGAGCCCAACCUU